CAGGUACGAAACUAAAGUUGACUUAUAAAGCAACUAAAGGCGACAGAGAGCAUGUGAUCUGGUUCCCGGAUGGACAACUAUUUUACAUCCAGAUCAGCAUCACACCUCAUAGUUCUUCUUGGUUAGCCUCUCAAGGAACGGAGACUUCUCCAGCUGUUCUUUGCUGCUUCCCGUGAUGUAGAAGAUGUCUUUCUGCCCUGACUUCAUCCUUGAAAUGUACUCGUCAAGAGAGGCAAGUUUGCCAUCUGACUUGGUACUGAAACAAACAAACAAAAACAAGGUCAGCUUUAUUUUGCCUACUACAUAUAAUUAAACUCAUAAUGAAUGGAAAACAGCACUGAAGGAUGAACCUUUCAAAUCUAAGAAGCUUGGCAAGGCGGUUCCUGUUAGUUGCAUCUUCGAUGAUGCCCAGCUUGAUCGAUUUGCCAAACUCAUUCCAGAACUUGGCAUACUGGCCCUUCUUCUCCUCCAUUUCACUUUUCUCUUCAUCUGAUUACAGAAAUAUUUUUAUGAGUACUACAAUAGUAAAUACAGAGUAUGUGACAUGGCCAUUUAUUACAGCAAAGACUCAUUACCUGUCUUAUCUUUGUUGCUGUACUCAUCAGGAUCUUCUUCAGCAAUUUUCCUAAUCAUGUCAAGAGCUUUGCGGAUCAGUUUCUUCUUGAUGGUCUUCAGACUGCUAUGUUGUUGAAGCAUUUCUCGUGAUACAUUUAGGGGCAGUGUGUCUGAAUCAACAAUACCCUAGAGAGAAAAGCACUAUAAGAUUUAGUCUGCUAUGUCAAUGAAUUGAAUACGACAGGUUUUUCUAUACAGUAAUACAAUACCUUCAAAAAGUUGAGAUACUUCGGAAGGAGGUCAUCAAAUUCAUCAGAGAUAAAAACUCUUCUAACAUACAACUUGAGGUUUGACUUGUUAUUGUUGUAGUAACUCUCAUACAGAUCAUGUGGAGCCUUCGGAGGAACAAAUAGCAAAGCUUUGAACUCAACAUCUCCCUCAGCAGUGAAGUGGCUCCAUGCCAUAGGCUUGUCAUCACCGAAGUCCUACAAAAAAAUAAGAUGGUGAAUUCAUACAGGGUUUCCUCGACAAGGCGCAACCACUAAGCUUUCUUGAAAUUUGUUUGAACCAAUCAACUCAUUGUUACAGUCUUUACCUUAGCCAGUGAGUGGUAAAACUUUGAGUAUUCUUCAUCAGUAACCUCCUUGGGGCUACGAAGCCAUACAGCCUUCACAUCAUUCAGAAGCUCCCACUCAGAAGUAGUCUCCUUUAUUGUCUUUGUCUUGGGCUUCUUCUCUUCACCUUCCUCUGUCUCUUCCUCAUCUGUGGUUUCUGGGGCUGUUAAGACACAUGCUGCAUUAGCACUUACACAUAACAUGGCUACCAUCAAAGAGAAAAAACAUUAACUAAAGACUUACUCGACUCCUCGUCUUCACUUGUUUCCUCCUCGUCAGCUGGCACUUCAACAUCAACCUCCUUGGUUGACCACAGAUAAAUGGGGAAGUUGAUGAACUCAGAGUACCUCUUCACCAAAUCCUGCAAAACAGAAUAUUCAAGUUAAACACUUGUAAUAACAUAUCGAAAAAUUGCCUUAUAAAGUCUAGAACAGAUUUGCUUCAUCUUAUAAUGCAUGCAGCCCAGCUAGUAAACAGGGAAAAAAGAAAAAUAUAUUUCACUUGCCCUCACACAGUAACACGAAAAGUAUCCUGUGAUUGGUGAAUGUGCUUCAUUGAAUCAGUGCGCUAUAAAGAUGAAACAACAGACCACUGUGAAACCAUGACUUUGCAAAAAGUGUGAUUGAAAUUCCUAGUUAGCAACAUCAAUAUCUGAUACAAAAUAAUAUCAACCAAACUAUUACAAGAGUAGCAUGUCAUUCAUGUCCAACUAAUAAAAGAUGCUGAUUCAUACUACACAACAAACUUGGUUCACAUCAUGUAUUUGCAGAAGAAGCCAAUUAACGCCAACAAAAGUUGUAAUACCUUUAGCUUGUCCUCUUCCAAGUACUCCUUGGCCUCAUCUCGCAGAUGGAGUCUUAUCUCAGUUCCACGGCCAAGGGGUUCAUUCCAUGUAUCCUCGGAUAUAGCGAAUGAUCCAUCAGCCUUUGACUCCCACACAUACCUAUACAAGUACAACACCAUAACAGCUUUAAGAAAAUUGCAUAAAAAAAGCAAGAGAUGUACCAAAAACAAUAUACAACGGCAUGUCUUACUGUUUGUCAUCGUUGUGCUUGCUAACCACUUCAACAUAGUCAGCAACCAAGUACACAGAAUAGAAACCAACACCAAACUGCCCAAUCAGAUUGAGGUCACCUCCAGACUGCAUCUUUUCCACAAAAGCUGCAAGCGUUGCAAGCAAUUAACACUUUUUCCUAUGGGAAAGAAUUAACAUUUUCCAAGAGGAUAAUCCAAGCAUAUUUGUCAAGACUUGGAGUGCAGUUAUCAGUAGAAUAGACAAAAAAGCAGUACCUGAAGUCCCAGAUUUAGCUAUGGUUCCAAGGUUCUUAAUCAGAUCUUCCUUGGUCAUACCAAUACCCCUAUCCCGAAUUGAGAGGAUCUUCUUCUCUUUGUCCAACUUAGGCCCCGUUUGGUAGAGCUUCGGCUUCUCAUAAAACGGCUUCGGCUUCGGCUUUUUCGGUGGAGUGGCUUUUUUAGUGAAGCUGAAGCCGUUUUGCAAAACAUUUGGUAAAACGGCUUCUCAAUGGCAAUAUAUGUAAUUUUAUGAUCACUUAAUGCUUGGAGAGGGAGGAGAAGCCGGUGAAGCCACUUUUUUCGGCUUCUCCUCUCUAGUGUAAGCCGUUUUGCGGCUUCUCCCCAGCUUUGGUGGUGAAGCCGUUUUGAAAUUGACCCUUUGGUAGGGCUUCACCAAAAGCCAGUGGAGAAGCACUUUGAGAAGCCCUACCAAACGGGACCUUAAUCUACAUGUGCACAGACCAGAGGCCUUAAUAAUGAAUUCUACAGCAAGACAUGACCCAAGAGAAAAAUAGGCUUUCAAAGUUGCAGUAUACUGUACCUGGAUUUCAAGCUUAGCAGUGGCACCUUCACCCAGAACCUCCUUAUCAGUGAGGGAAAGGAAUCUAAUCUUAUCCAAGGCCUACAAACAUGCAGAUACUAAAGUUAAUUUCGAAUAUCCACAAUGAAGCAUAAACACGGGCCAAAUGCAAUACAUACAUCAGAGGCAUUGGAUAUGAGCUCCCUCAGGAAGAUGUCCUUGUUGCUGUAGAGUGAGUUGAUGAUGAUGUCCAUGAGUCUGGACACCUCAGCUUGGAACUCAAACUUUUCAGCCGAGCUCCUGAUAGUCUUCCUAGAGGCGGCGGCGAAGGCAGACGCCGAGGCAGGGGGAUCGAUUGGAGGCUGUGCAGCGUCUUCGUGAUGCGUUUCCUACUCGGAAUCGGAAUCGUCCGCACCGGCCCAGAGCACAAUUCCUGAGUCGGGCCAAAACUCAUUACGGCCCACCUCUAACACCUUUCUUCUUUUGGGCUCUCCCGCCGGUUGGCACUGCAGCCCACCACCAGCACUAACUGUUGUACGGGCCGGGUCCAGUAACCAAUCCGGUCCCGCGUGUGUGCGGUUGUUUCUGGUGAGGUGAGCGCCUGAGCCCAGAAGAAGUCCAGCACCAUGUCGUGUGGAGGCCCGGCCCGGCGGGAGGCACGCACAGCCUGCAAAAAGACGCUGCACAGCCUCCAAUCGAUCCCCCUGCCUCGGCGUCUGCCUUCGCCGCCGCCUCCAAUCAAUCCCCGCCGCCUCCAAUCAAUCCCCCCGCCUCGGCGUCUGCCGCCGCCGCCGCCACGGCCACCGCCCACGCCCACGCCCACGCCCAACUCACUCCUAUGGAGAGUCACCGCCGCACCAUCUUCGACCAAUAGGUGCGUACCUGCGGUUCCUUCUUCUCUGUUGCCCUUUGUUGUCCUCGAUUCGGAUUUGGAUACUUGGAUUUGUCGGUUUGGGUUGCAAUAAAAGAUUGUGCCUGAUAGAGUUCUGUUUGGUAAUCGAUUGUUACGAUUCAAAAUCGCAGGGAUCAAUCUCAACGCCAACCUCUGUCAGAUCUAGUUUGCGCCGGUUGGUGAGGAGAGGACAAGAAGGCGACGAUCGAGCAAGGAACAAGAACGAGAUGCAAUCGCUAAAGCGCCGGCGCGGUGAUGGUGACAGCCUCCACGCGGCAAAGCGUCUGGAGGAGCGCCGCCUCUACCUCAUCUUUGAUGACUGGCCGUGGGGAUACAGCAUCCGCGAGAUAGACUUGCGCGUCUCCACCAGUCAGAAGUCAUCACAGAACGGCGCCGCCGCCUCAGGCAACGGCGCCGCCGCCGCCUCCAGCGAAGGCGCUGACCGGCACUUGCCUCAGCCUAUCAUCUGCUUGGAGGCACCGCGGGGGUUACCCUUGUUCUUCGCCGCCGUUGGCACCAGGAUCGUGGCGACGCAUCCCAGAGAUCCCUGGGACGAUGACUCGGUGUCCGGUGACUUCAUGCCCAUCGUCGACGUCCGCUCGCGGGGCGUCACCUUUGGCCCUAGCCAGACGCAUCUCGAUAUUCCCAUCUACCUCCCUGUCCACAAUGGGUUGUUCGCUUUGGACAACUGCGCCGUCUCGAUGCUCUCCUUCGAGCCGCUCUGGCCCCCGCGGCUGGAAAUUCGUCGCAGUAGCAACGAUGGGUGGUCGUGGCGCGAACUCCCGGAGCCGCCAUUCGACAGGCUGGAUGUCACUGCCUACAUUGUGAGCCCUGAUGAGACGAUCAUGGUCAGCACCAACGAGGGCACCUUCACCUCGGACAUCGUGAAGAUCGACACGGAGGAGCUUGUUUGGAUGCCAUCUUGCAACCAGUGGACGCUGCCAUUCACCGGCCGCGGGUACUUUGUCAGCUGCCUGGGAACCAAUGUAGGGCUCUCCAAAGAUCCGGCCACCCUCGGCCACCUGGUGGGCGCCACCGACGGCGGUAAGCUGAAGCUUUGCAAGGAGAAGUUGUUCAGCCAGGACCCAGCUGAGACCCAUGUAGGUGCUACACUCCUCCAUAUGCAAGAUGGGAAUGGAGAUGGGAAUGAGUUUUGCCUUGUCCAGUGCGUCUCUGUUGAACAUGGCAACGAUGAUCAGGAGCUCAAGGAGGGUGGAGAGGAGGUGCCUAUUGAACAUGGCGACGAUGAUCAGGAGCUCAAGGAGGGUGGAAGUCGCUAUCUUUAUCGUUUGACAACGUUCUCUGUCAGCUAUGACAACAAUGGAGACCUGACGACCGGCGGGACUUGCAAGGUGCAAUGCUACAAGGUGCCUAAACAAACCACCGAGAGAUUCCUCAAUGUGGACCCUGUGGCAUUUUGGCUGUAAGAUGCUACAAUCAGGUCGUGAUAAGGAGUUAGUAUCUUUGAAUUUAACUCGGUUGUGACUCUUUUGCCUUAUAUGUUUUAAUGAUGUGUACACUCAACUGCAGUUCUGUUAAUGUAUUGCCUUCCUAUGUUUAAGUUGUGACAAUUUUUUUAGGAUGAGAUGCUUUCAUAUUUAUGUUCAACCAGAAUAAUCUCCAGGAUAUAUUGGACAGUGAAAUAAUAGAUGGUGAAGUUCUGGUAGUGCUUGAGAAACUAGGGGAACUUGUUAUGCACUGUCUGAGCCCAAAAGGAGAUGACAAGCCAACAAUAAAUGUAGUGGCAGAGCGACUACAGAUGUUGAGAAGACUCCAAAUGCAGCUACUCAGAGUAAAUUUGCGUUGGAGUUAGGACUUUUAGUCAUAAUAUAAUAUUCCUUGUUUGAGAACGGGAAUUCGAUAGAGAAUUGUAUAUAAUAUUCCUUGUUUGAGAACGGGAAUUCGAUAGAGAAUUGUUAUCCUUGUUUGGUUGGUGGUUUGGGGCGUGCGAAACAGUUAAGAUUUAUUAUCCUUCAAUUCCCAACCAGAUUGGUGCUAGUUAGUUGAACCCUAAAUUCAUAUUCUUCGCCCCACAAAAUUCCCAUUCUCAUCUGAUAAAAAGAUAUUUAUAGACUCUUAUCUCUAAACUCGCAUUCCCUCCCAACAAGUUUGCAUGGAGUAAAAUCGCACCCAACCAAACGCACCGCUUCUCGGACAAUUGAGCCAAUAUACACAAGUUUGUAUGGAUUAUCAGGUAUGCGCAGAAAACCAAUACAAUUUCCCUAACAGCAGCGAGAGUAAAAAUCUUUGCCAGCGUACUUUACAAGGGAGGGUGCGAUGGAGGUAGAGAUGCCUGCCAUUCUAACCAUAUUUACAAGGUCCAAAGAAAUGGAUUGCACACAUCCCAAACAAUCAACAAGGCUGCAAAACAGAAGCGAUCCUAUGGGGUUCUACCGCCUGAGAUUGCCUCCCAACUUCCCGCAUCACAUGACAGGAAAUCCUGAUACAGCAGUGAAUGGGCACCGGUCCAUCGCCUGUUGCCUGUUGCCUGUUGCGAUACAGAAAUGGACACGAGGGUUCCAGUUGCUAAGAAUAAGGAAGCUUGUUCAAAGCUUCCGCUGCUGAGUGAUGGCAGCUAUUUCUGCUGGGUGAUAGCAUCACUGCAGAACUUCUUGAAAUUUUGGCACUCAUCGGUCAGGAAGUCACUGCAAAAUGCGACAGGAUCUUAAAACUGGAUUCUCCAAAGGCAAACAUAGAUUGACUACAUGUAGACCAUAGACUUACUAGAUACGUUCCACCAUUUCUGCCUGAUCCCAUCUAGGACUCCAGGGAUAGUCAUUUAUCGGGGGCGACGUAAUAGGUGUCCCGUCAGCAUUACAGUGCUGCAGGUGAAUCAGGAAGGCAGCCGUCAUUCCACAGGUUCAAAACACGGAAUUUAGAGAGCAUACUUUGUAACCAUUAUAGAAAAGGACUAUACGACGAAAAAACCCCAUUAUUUUCUUAGUAGCAUCUAAGUAGUAUACCUAUGUGGCUCCGUGGCUCUUAUCACCAGAUUACUACUUAGGCUACUGGCAAUCAGAUAAAACUAUUCCAAACACCCAAGCAAAUUAUGUGACGAAAAAGGGUUUCAAUUUUCAAGGCCUGAAUAGCAUGUGCAGAGAAUUUUCCAUGAUAUGUCAAAACUACAUUUUUACUUCUUGAGUUCAUUUUCAGAACAACAAUCAAACAUAACCACAACGGGGGUGACAUGGAAUAGAAUAAAGCCUGAAACAGAUAAUGACUACAGUUACAAUAAAAGGGGAAAUGUUAAAAAAACAGUAUCUAGAAGUUUUGAAAAAUUCUGAGAAAAAUCAGAAGUAGAGGAGAGGGUGAAAUACAUGCAUAAAAAUUUUCAAGACCAAACUCAACUUCUUUUUAUGAGAUAUGAAAUUGAUAGAUCUACAAAGAAAGUGUGAAGAAAAAGACAGACAGUGUAUGUGCUCUGUUUUUGUUUUUUUGUUUCGCAGUUUGUAGAUUCCAUUCAUAUAACAAACUUGAGUUUGGUUUUAAAAUUUUAUAUGCAUGUAUGUCACCCUCUCCUUUUUUGGGGGGUGGGAGUGGGGAAUGGUUGCAAUUCCACCGAGAAGUUGGUUUGCACUAAAUAUUUUCCCACAAUAAAGUAAAAGGUGCUAGCUUCACUAGGCAAUUGUAUCAAAAUUCAAUUCUACUGCUCAAUCCUAUAUGCAGAAAGCACUACAACUUACAAAAAUGGGACCUAUGAUCAACCAUGUAAAUUACAAAUACGCCUAACUGGUGAGGAGUCAAAUAGUGACCUGAGAACUCUGCAAUGUGAGGACAGGUUGCUGCUUUGGGAAUUGAAGGGGGAUAGCAAAGUGAACCUGCAGCAUCACAAUGUGUUCCUUGUCACUUGUUAAUGAAUUGAUUCACAAUUAUAAGGCUAAAUGAAAGAAUAAAAAUGGAUGAUGCAAAUCAUUAAAAAAAUUUAUACAAAGUGUGACAUCAAACAGUUCAUAAUAUGCAGAGCCAAGUGGAAAUGAAGGAAACAUGCUCCACAAACAUACAGCUUUUUAAUUGUUUCAUCAUAAUAAUUGCGGGAAAUGCAUCAGCACCACCUCAUACAGCAUUGUGGUGGUGUUCCAUGAGAAUAAACAUUGUUCCCAGAUGUGUGACCUGUUUUUCUCUCAGAUGCCAGGUUUUGUAUUCUUUGAUUGUUUCUGCACUAAUCUGGUUGGCUUAAUGUGCUCACAAAUUUAACACAAUUUGUAUUCACUAUGUGCAAAGCAGAUGGGAGAACAUAAUAAAUGCAUUUUCCUUUUUUCUGACUAACGCCAUGGAAUAGAAAAGAACAAGAGGGCAUAGGUUCGUGUAUUCUCUGACAUACCAGAAAUGUGAAAAUUCCUGAAAUGGACAGUACUGUAGCUCUCUUGCAAAAAAUCUGAUGCGCAGAUGUAUCGUUAGGAAACUUGACUAAAUGCACAAUUAUGUAAGGAAAAAACAAUGCCAUAUAAUAUACCGGAUCAGCCUCUAUCGGUCUCCCAAAGGUAGGAGCCAGUGCCUCAAUAAAACGUCUUCUGGCACCAAUUGAAGCUGAUGCUUCAACAACCUUCAGUAUAAUUAACAAAGUUAAUGUAAGGAACAAAAAGAACCAUUAAAAUUAUGCAAAGAUAAUCCCCUACUUCAUGGGUUUUCAUGAUAUCGCAUAGCCAUCAGCUAAUUAACAACUAGGUGCCAAACCAUGAGAGGGUGGGAGGGGGAGAGAAGCUUAGGCAUAUCACCAGGCCACUGUCACUGUCCCUCCCUCUCUGUUUAACUAACUAAUAGAUGCUUUGCUAAAUGAAAAGUCCAUAGGUUUUGUACAACCAAGCACUUGAAGCAUUACAAAGGGUUGAGAUGCAAGUGGACAGAAAGGAAAAUAGUAGUACAAGACCUAUUGUUUUUUCCUGCUUCAUUUUUUCUUCUGUUUCAGUUUCCCUCACUUUUCGAAAGACUAGAGUCAGAUCCAAACUUGAAGACACAGAUUUUUAGCGCAACUGAAACAGUAAACCCACAGACAUUCUGCAAUCCCCAUCCCCCCAUGCCAUAUCUUAUAUGCAUGGAAUUGACAUGAAAAUUGCACAAAAAACUCCAAAACAACAACAGCAACAUGGCUUACCAGCAGGUUAAGACUUUCUUCUAAGGCAGGAAGAUACUCCGCUAAACACCUGCAUAUGAUAGACCAAGGAGAGCUAAUCAGUUAAAAGUCAUUUUUACUUCUUUUCGAGAAACGGUGUAAUAAAUGAGGACCAAGGACAUAACAAGCGUGUUAUGCAUCAAAACAUGGUAUGCGACAAGAUAACACAGAAGGCAGGAUAAUCUUCAUUUAGCGGUGUGGCAAGUUGACUUACAUCCCGUUUGACCAUGGAGGGAGUUUCACAUCCUCAACUGAGAAAAGUGAUUUCAAAUCUGGUGUUGAGAUUAGUUUGAGUCGUGGAGCAGAAGGAACAGAAGAGUAACUUGAACUUCUACUGAUUGGAAAAAUGACCUGCACAAGAAACAGGCAAUGUAUUUUUCAAGUGCACAAUGAAGCUCGUAUGUUCUAUUCGGUUGCCCAAACUAUAGACAGACAAAUGAAAAGAGAUGGCUAUAUAAAUGCAUCAGAUGUCUGCCACUAUCUGGAAAGUUCUGCUAGAGGUUUCUCAGUUUGUUUGCAUGCAAAAAUCAAAUAAAUACUUCUAAAUAAACAUAUGACUGAAAUCUCAACUAUCUAAAGAGAAUACAAAAAUGCAGCCAUGAAAUUGUUAUGUGUGAAAUCCUGUUUUUCUCAGUUUGUAGUGUGUUGUGGUUAAUGCUAUGGUGCUCUAGUCAAUCUUACAUGCAAAAGGUGGAAAAUUCAGUGUAACAUACAACAACAGUCCACCAAAAAUAUUCUGAAUCUGCCAGUAACAAUAAUAGAAUAAUCCUCAGGAUCCUACUCUGUGCACAUCUUGGUUGGAGAGCAUGCAGAUUAAGAUGUAGCAAGUACCUACUGCCAGAUAAAAUAUGGUCUAGAGGCCUUCUCUGGCAUUGCAAAAUUUACUCAUAAAAUCACAUUUCAACAGGGCCUGGCUAGCUGAGACUUUUCUGGUAUAAUAAUUAUCAAUGCUACCACUAUUACAAAAUGUUCAUUUCUGCAUCCAUGGAACCAGUGGCUUUAGAGAUUAACCUGUAGAUGGAUCUUUUGAGGUACUCUCCAAGGACAUCCUUGCACCAGUUUGGUAAAGUCGAAGUCUGCGUCCAGAAGUGGUACAGCAAAUUUCACCUCAUCUGGCUACAAAAUACAAGAAAUACAGGUUGAGAGUAGAUAUCAAUUUUCAUUGAAAAAAGAGGUUGUGGAAACUGGUAAACUUACCCUAUCGGCAGAAGGUACCAUGCAGACUUCAAUACCCUGUUCAAUUAUAGAGUUUCAACAAGUCAUUAUUCAUCGAACUUAUUCAAUAAUAAAAUUGUGCUAGUUGGAAGAGCAGUUAGUAAUAAGUUAGUAAAGCUGCUUAAACUUCAGCACAUACUUAAGAUCCUUUCUGUUUCUCACUCACUACUGAACCAUACCAUAUGAAGGCGGGUUUAAGAAUAAAAUCUAGACCUUACUUUUAGAUAUGUGGCGUAUUAAUCUAAAAUCUCAAUGCCACUUAAUCGGCAAGUGUGGAAAUGUGUUACCUCCUUAGAGAGAACUGUACUUAGUUCAAACGUUACUCUUGCAUCGUCCACCUUGGCGACCUGCUUCUUGUGGUAUUCAACGUACAAUUCCCUGCACCAAACAAAAUUAGAAUGAAACAUUAUCGAAAGAAAGUUUAGCACCAAAAGUACCAGGAGUAUCUCAACAUGAUUUCUUCACCAACAAGAACAUCUCAUGGUACCAAUUUCUUCCCAACCACAUGCCUACCUGACAAACUAUAGUUGAAAAACAAAACUGGACAAUGCCGUUUGUUAACAACGAAUAUUAUCACAUAGCAAGAGAAAUAUUAUCACAUAGCAAGAGAAAUCAGUUUGUUGUGCACAUAUAUCAUGCAAUAAGAGAAGAUCAAGUACAUGAAGAACAGAAAAGGAAUCCAUUUAUAUACCUUCAUCACAAAAAAAAUCUCUCUUAGCAGAAGCCAUCAGAUAACAUGUCUAUGUACCAUUAGCAAACUGAUGAAGAAAAUUUUUUCCAGAGUUAGAUACUAAGUAGAUUACACAUUCAUCGCAAUUUAGAAUCAAUAAACCUGACACAGGCUCCAUUUCAUGCACAAGAGUGUUGAGAAAGCAAGGUCUUAAUAUUAUUGCUUCACACAAACAGGAUUGAUAGCAAAAGCAUCAGGAAAAAAGCUAAGUAUAAAACAGCCAAAAAUCGUCUAAUAGAAAAGAUUGGUUCAGACCCCUCUUACUUACAACACAGUCCCAUUUACUAACAUUGGCAUGUCUUAAGGUACAAUCUGGUCAUUCACCAUAUGUAAAUAGACAUCAACAUAUCCUUAGCUGAUAUCGUCCCUACAAGAAAGUGGAAUAUGAAGGUAAUUGGACUCACACUCUCACAGGCUUGCCGAUAUCCUUAGCCUCUGGGCUGCACAGAAAAUGAUAUUGGAGACAGGUAAGGGGAGCUUCAUGUUAUAUCAUCAGACACUGUUAAUUAAGUUAUAUAUGCACGUAAUAUAUACUGUUGAGAAUAAUCCAGACCAUAAUAUCGUUGCUUCACACAAACAUGAAUAACAGUAGUGAAGUACAUAACAGCAACAAGAACAAAAGGUAAAUACAAAACAGACAGGAAGCACAGAAUAUAGAGAAGGAUAAUUCAGAUAUUGGCUAUCCUCUCUUCCUCGAGCAGUUGAGCUCAGUCCCCUUCACUCAGAUUGGCAUGCCUUUGGGAAAAUCUGGUUCUUUAACAACAUGUAAAUAGGCACAGAACACAGUACGCAGCAUUUAUCGUUCCAAUGAGGAUGCGAAGGAGGACGGUGCUCGGAUUCACCGGUUUGCUGACAUCCUCAGCCUUUGAACCAAGCUGCAUAAAAAUUAGAAUGGAAAACUUAUGCUAGAAACCCUCGAUGAAAUGAACAAUCUAAAAAAUCAAAUGAGGUACGCCAAAUAUUCACUGAGAUAUGUAACAGUGAAUCCAUUAGCAAAAAUGAGAAGUAUACCUCCAAAGGAGAGUGUCCACAUUCUCUCUUCACCUGUGACAGAGCAUCCCAUAAUGAGGCCAUGCCUUCGGCAACCAUGGUACCACUUUGAUCCAAUUCUUUUCAGCCUGACAUAGUGACAUCCUUGAACCCAGCCUUCUUGAACCACUCGAUGUACCUUCCUUGGGGAAGAGCAACCACAUAUCAACGAAGCAGCAGGACAGCCAGAAGGUUGGGUACAUGGGGCCAAUCUCACAAGCUAGCCCACCAAACCUCAGGACCCUGUACGCUUCCUUGAUUCCUCUCCGCAGCUCAGCCCAAUACUCAAUGCUGCAAUGUAUGUGACAGAUCACGAAAAUCAGCAAUCUCUACUUGACUAGUUAAGAACAGAAUGUGCAAUCAUCACAAUACCAAUUACUUGCAACUGAUUCACAAUAUGUACAGUAGUGAAGAGAAGUGAAGUGGAUCAAGCAAGAGCGUCAGUGACCUGCUGGCGAAGAUGUGUCGGUCGAAGGUGUCAGUGGGGAUGGGCAGGUCCUCGGCAUCGCCCUCCAUGAUGGUGACCCCCUUGAGCGCCUCUUGCUGGUAGGACUUCUCGAGCUAGUGCGGGGACUGGUCGAGCAGCGUUACGUUCUCCAACUGACAAGAACACUCAACUACUUUAUAAAGAAGAUGGAUGGUAUUUUGUGGGGACACUGAAACACCUACUUUUACUCGCGAGAAAGAUAGGUUUACAAAUAUGCUCAAUAUCAUCUAUCUGUUGCAGUCAAUGUUCUAAUUUGACUUGAACAAUCUUGUGGGUUGUAUGGUUGAUGCCAAAUCAACAGAUCAUGCUUGUGCUAUGCUAUCUGAAAAAUAUCAUUGAAUCUUUGGACCCAUAAAAAGCGGAAUUUGUGCUUGUGGAAAUUCUCAAGCGAGCGUAGCUGCCGCUGAACUGAAAGAUUCCCUGCCAUGUGCAAUUAUUAGUUCGUGACUAAAAAAUAGGAUUUUUAAAAAAAGUAGUAAAUAGGAAACUUUAAGAAAUGGCGUUUUCUGCCUUUCUACAUCUUCCUGUCAGUAUUCAGAAAAAUCUGUCCAUAUGCUGUGAAUUGUGGAUCCAUAAAAGUUCCCUGGUUUAAAUGUGAAUCCAAAAACAAAUAAAAAAUGAGCAGCACGAAGGGGAAAACAGCUGUAUAGGCAGUAUAGCCUAAAGAAGGAACUAAAGAAACUAAGGGAAAACAGCAGAGCAGCACAUUUGAAGUAAAUCAUAUAUAAUAAUACAAUAGAACACAAAAAUCAGCAGCAACUCUGCAGAGAAGAUGGCUCUCAUGAUCUACCUAGCAUUUAAUUGGAAAAAUGGCGCACAAAGAAGCAUUAAGAACUCAAAGCAUUCAAAGAUGGAAAAAUGAUUGCUCUCAUCAUAUGUACUCAAAGCAUUUAAUUAGAAAAUGGUGAACUCCAGGUCAAAUUCUACAAUCAGCACAUACUGUUCUGCCUAAACCACAUCUUUAGAUUAUCAUGAACGUAUAUCAGAAAAGGAACAAUCCUGAAACCACGCACAUAUAACAGCAACACCGUCAAUGAUCGAAACUGCUCACCGCCACAGGAACCCAAGGCUGCUAGCGUGCUCCUUGCCCCACCAAACAACAUAUUUUAAAUCACAUAUCAGAAGCAAAUAAACAACUAAUAUGACCUCCUAGCUCCAACAAACAAUAUUAUUUUAUGGACAGGUGAGAGAGCACAGACAAAUUCAUAAAUAGAGUUCACACUUCUCAAGUCAGUCACAACACAAAAGACAGUCUCAACAUAAAAGUUUCAGUCUCAACACAAAAGGAGCACACUCACACAAUAAAAGGAACGCAGUAAGGAACAAAUCACAAUACAAAAGGAACAGAGUGCAGCACAACUUUAUAACUAAAACAUGACAUGAUGCCAUAGCCUCUUAUUCCCAUCUCCAUCUUCAGAUUCAACGUUUCUUCAUGAAGCUUCCCUUUUGCUUUGUUCUGCAAUGGUAACCACAUCAGAAUACGCUUCGAACCACUUCUCAGAACCAGCUUGGUGCCUUUCCAACCCUGUUUGUGAACAAAAUCAUUUAUAGUCAGUGUUGAACUACAAAAUGCCGGAGCUUGCCCUCCGCCGUAAUGAAUCUUUUGACCCAAAAACAAUUCAGAUUGUUCAACUUCUCAAUUUUUAGCUUUUAAUAUAUUCUAUAUGUAUACCAAGUAAGUAGCUUUGUAACAGUAUCAUAUUCUACUUUUAGAAUCAACUACAAUGGAAAUCAGUUGUUAUAGUGGUAUUUUGGAGGUUCUCUCACUGCACAGAUCUGUUGUUAUUGGAGGCAAUAUAUGUCACACUUGGAAAGCUUAGAGCCGAAUGCAAUAAUGAAGGACAAGAGCUCUUACAUGGCAUAGCCUAACGAAGAAGGCGCACAUCAGUGAAGUUCUCAUGCCACUUAAGAGUUACGAGUUCUCCCUCGUUAAACAAGGCCCUCUGGAGCUUAUAAAGCAUAUGAGGGUCGACAAGAUCAAACAUGUCUGAAAGUUGUUCCUCAUCGAACAUUUGCCUUUGAGAAACUUGUUGAGCUCCAACUGGCCCAGCCGCUGCAAUUGCUGCUCUUGCUGCUGCUCUUGCUGCAUUUCCUGCCGCCGUCACCGCCGCAUAUGAAGUAGGAUCUGGAUGGCUGGCUCUUGCAAGUGCUGCUGCUGUUGCUGCGGCAGCGGCCUCCACCAAUGAGCCAUUGUGCUUUCGUAAUGCUUUUAUGAUGGAUGAUGCUAUAUAUUUAGCAUGCCAGAUGUGGAAAGGCUCCAGGAGCUCUCGGGCACAUCUUGCUGGUAUAGGCUGGGGCACUCCACCCAAUGCCGCUGCUAUAGAUUGCACGCUGUGUGCUGCUGCUUGAUGAGCUGCUUUCAAUGCUUCAUGUACCCCCCCAAUAUCAAAUGAAUAGUCCUUAAUCAGGUGAGCACCUCCAUUCCUCCGAAAAACCAAUAAUCCCUCAACAGUUGGAAGAUAACGGACUCUACCGCUGAGAAAAUCAGAAAUUCUGUCAGUGAAACUCUUGGAGGGUUGUUUGAAACGCAGGAGCUCAUGAAGAUGUACAUUCUUCAUUGAGCUAUGGAUCCAAUUGCUCAAUGUGAUGCUUCGAAGAAUCCUUGUGUACAUCCUGUAGUCUUUGCCCUUGAUCACUAUAAGCCGAUCAAAUAAUUUGGUGAAGAGGGUGCAUUUUCUAGUUCCAUUCUCACGCGCCACAUGAAUCUGGAGAAGUGGAUAAAGAGUGUUGUUGAAGUUCUUCAGCACCGAGAGAAGAUCUGCAACAUCAGCAGGUACAGGACCAUAUACAGCUACGCAAAAAAUGUUGUUCUCAGCCACAUCCGCAACCGCAUACAUGUCCCUUGAUGUUGUCAGAGCAUCUGCCGGCACCAGUUUGUCCAGAAGGUUCUUUGUGCCUUUAAGAAAACCAGAGUGAGUAACUCCCAAAUCAUCAGGAUGGAGAUUACCAUCAACUGAGAAACCAAAGUGAACAAGUAGAGUUGUCCAGUCUAAAAUGGCAUUGAACAUAUUUCUCGCGUGGUCAGAUGACUUUUUGUGCAUCCUUUGAUCACCUGGUAUAGCCACUUGGACAAUCGGAUCCCUUGACUGAAUAUAUGCCACCAUGGACUGGCGCAAUUGUGUCAUUUCAUUAGAGAAAAACAGAUCGAGUACAGGUACCUACAAAAGUUCAAUCAAAUGAAAUCUUAGUCAAAUAAUUCAAUGCCAAAUAAAAGUUAUUAUCUCAACCACAUGAGCAUCAACAGGCAUUACUUAAGGUAAUUCUCAAUCACAUGUUCAAUCAAAUGAAAUCUUAGUCAAAUAAUUCAUAUGCCAAAUAAAAGUUAUUAUCUCAACCACAUGUUAUUAUCUCAACCACAUGCUAUUAUAAUCUUAGACAAACUACACCUAUAUGUUAUUAUCUCAACCACAUGAGCAUCAACAGGCAUUACUUAAGGUAAUUCUAAUCUCCAAGACCAAAAACAGUAGCCAACACAAAUAAUAUUUUCAGAGGUUCUUAAACACAAAACACUUGAACAAAACAACAUUUCAUCACUUACCGGAAUCUGAUGACCAAGUGCAUUAAUGAUUGGAGAAUGACACUGAAAAAAAAACAUGUGUCAAAGGAGUUACUUUUGUCUUUGAUCGGAAUCAUCGGAUCUACAUGAGUGAAAUGAUUCGUUUACCUGUUCUUGCCGUUGCUCCCGCAGCUUCUGACGCAUGUUGCGGAGACGCUGGCGUAGUUGCCGCAGCAUCCGCCGUGCGAGCAACCCAGAUUGGCUAAGCAGGAUCUGCUCACCCCGGCGCCUCUUGCGGCUACACCGCUGUCGUGCGUGCAGCAGCACCUCCUUCAUAGAGUCGGCAAGCACACGGGCCGUGACCUUCGCACCGGCAUGCCUGCGGGCCCGACGCGGCGCCAUCUCCAAGACGCGGGGCGAGGAAGAGGCAAUGCGGAGCUGAGGAGCGGGAGAAGCCUACGGCGACGGAGAGGACGCGGGCGAGCGGCGAAGGAGGGGACGCGGGCGGGUGGCGACGGCGAAGGAGGGGACGCGAGCGGACGGCGAAGGAGGGGACGCGGGCGGACGGCGACGGAGGGCAAGAGAGAAGCGGGAGGCUAGGGUUUUGGGACUUGGACUUGGGGACUUGGGGUAUGUGCGUGCGGCGUGCCAGCGCACGCGUGGGCUGUGCCUGCGCUAUCGGCUUGUGGGCUGGUUGGGCAGCCCAAGAAACGGAAAUACCAAAAGCAAUUGUUAACGGAGCCCAUCAGAUCCCCUUCACUGUCCCCUUCUUUCGAAAGUUGAAGCAAUUGUGCAAACAACCAUAGAACUCAAGGUACUUAAUUCUCGAGUCAAACUGGCUGCUACAUGCAUGUUUAGCAACACCAGAAAACUCAGAAAAAAUAUUAAAAAGCAUUCGUUCAUAAUUUGUGCCGAGAAAUCUCCACAAACCAUGACUACAGAUUUAAGAGCACAAAUUAGUAAGAUUGGCUGCUAAAGGCCUUGUCUUAGCUAGACUAUUGUACAGUUCCGAAAUAGUACUACAUCCGUUUCAAAUUGCAGAUUGGAUCGUUUUAGCUUCUUAUCUUAUCAGGAGCAUCCACCUGUAGUGUAGCUUCACACGCGAGCCGUAAGGCACACCACAGUGGAUGGAGAACAUACACCUGCCUCUUGAUCCAUGCAAUAUACGCCAAAGUUUUCUCCUAGUGGCUAUACUAGUAACCAAGUAAUAACACAUCGUCAUGGUCGCCAAGUUUAGCUAGCUAGGAAUGCACAUUCCCUCAUCCAGAGGGCUAGGUUUCCCCAACCAAAUCCAAUCCAACAGCUAGCAACAAUUCCUAGCAACUAGUGGUUGUAUUGUAAAUGAGCAAGUCAAUGGCGAAUUGGUGAUGCUAUCAUUGCCUUGCUCUCGACCAAGAUGAAAACAAGCUCGUCCUAGUGCAACUAGUGGCUCAGGGUGAGUCUCAUUCGGCUUUAUUUUACUCCCUUUCAACUUUUCAAUCGCGAGAAGGAAAGGAAAGAAAAUCACCGUAUAUUCGCGGGACUUUUUAAAUAGCAAUUUUUGUGUGGCUUUUAUAGAAUUUCCAAAAAAAAGUUGUGGAAAUAUAUAUAAUCACUUAUAUUUAGCUCUAUGGUAGCUAGCGCUAGCACGAUUGAAUAAUAUUUUAACAUAUUUUAAUUAGAAUACAUUAAUUUGUGAGAACCUUUUAAAACAAAAGCAUUUAUUUCAUCUAUUACUUGUCAAAAUGCGAUCGAGAAGCAUAGUUUAAUUUGGCGCCGUGAAUUUUCCAUGUGCGUCCUGCAACAACACAUCAUUUUGAUGUACACAUAUGUGGAGCCAAGCCAUGUACUGCCAUGUUAAGUAAGGGAUGAAGAAAUAAUGCGCGAUAAUCUUAUCAAUUAAUUGAUAAGUUGAUGAUAAUCAAACGGGUUACGCAAAAACUGAAUGUAAAACAAGGGAAAAUGAGUGAACAUGAUGUGAAACCAAGUCAUCCCAAACCGCCCAAUGCGUGUACGGCCCCCCAAAAAGGAAUACGACUUGUGUGUAAACUAAUAUAAAUCAUGAAGCGUGCUUUUAAUUUUUGCAAUUUUUUUUGUUAAGCACUUGCCUCGGCAUCAAAGAGCACAGGUUGCUUAAUACAAUCUCUUUUUUCAAGAGCAUACAUGUUAUAUUCCUCUUUGGGCUUUUUGCCCUAUAGCAUAAUAUACAUGUGUGGCUAUCAGCUUUCAUCCCAAUGGAACGAAGUGGUCGUCGUCGUCUGUCCUGGAUCGGGAGCUCUUGUUCGCUUUGCUGUCGUCCCUGCACCUCCGUGUCUAGGAUCGGGACAUUAUCGUCAAGCUUCUGCAACUUGGAACCUACAACCAGGCACUGAAGCAGAACCAUGAGCCUGCGAGAAGAAGCAUAGGUUUCUUUCUCUGGAGCAUUACAGUAUGAUGGUUCAGCUGCUGAAAGAUGAUUGGUGAAGUGAAGUCCGAUCAAUGGCUCUCCACCUGAACACAAUUUUAACAUCGCCAUCUCGAUCCAACAUGCUUAAAAAAAGAACAAGAGCAAGCCUGAUGAUUCGCUCACCUACUUGCAACUCCCCAGUUUCCCAGAGGCCAGCCAGACUGCCAUGUCUGUCUGUUUGUCCUCCUCGAUCAGCUCCUGCGAUGCAAGCAGCCGUAUCGGCAAUAAAAAUCUCCAUGUGCAGCAAAUUGGAGCAUGGACCUUCCUUGAAUGAUUCUUGCCCUCUUGGAACCUUCCUAAUAUUUUUUCUUAAUAAUUAAUAGAUCCGGUUAGGAGUAUCUUAGUUACCUUACCUCGUCGUCAUGCGAUGCAUCAACAAACCAAAAUUUUGCAUCUGUCUGCUUCACCCCUUUGUUCUUCUCCUCCAUGGGAGGACCUCUCUCUCUCCUCUCUCUUCUCUGCUGCCUCACAUUUCUCCUCCAAGGUGACCAAUAAGCUUCACAUUGGUGCAAAAUCGAGCUUGCAUUAAUUUGUAAUUUUGCAUAGCACUAGCAUAUACUGUUGAGUUCAUCUGCAUAACAUCCAAUUUGUUUCAUUCUCAUGCCAAAUCAAUUGAUCCCUUUUUUUCUGUGCCGUUGAUCAAUCUUUUCUCGUCUUCUCAAAAUUUGUGUUAAAAAUGUGUUUAGUGUAUAAUACAUGUUUCGGAGUUGCUGCUGCUUACUUUUGGGAUUCAGUCAUUCAGAGCUAGUGUGUUGUUGCUGUUAACCAAUGCACGGUGUGCUGUAAUCACCAGGAGCAGCGCCCGCGACGUUCACCAUAACCAACAGCUGCGAGUACACGGUGUGGCCAGGCAUCCUCUCCAACGCCGGCGCCCCGCCGCCGUCCACGACCGGCUUCGCGCUGCCCCCGGGCCAGACGCUCGCGGCCACCGUCGCCUCCGCGUGGUCCGGCCGCAUCUGGGGCCGAACGCUCUGCGCCACGGACUCCUCCUCCGGCGCCUUCGCCUGCGCCACCGCCGACUGCGGCUCGGGCGCCGUCGAGUGCUCCGGCCGCGGCGCCGCGCCGCCGGCCACCCUGGCCGAGUUCACUCUCGCCGGCGGCACCGGCGGGGACGACUUCUACGACGUCAGCCUCGUCGACGGCUUCAACGUGCCCAUGCUCGUCGCCCCGCAGGCGCCGGCGGCGGCCAACGGGAGCUGCCAGGCCACGGGGUGCCCCGCGGACCUGAACAGGGCGUGCCCCGCUGAGCUACGCGUCGCCGGCGGCGCGGGGGCGCAGACGGUGGCGUGCCGGAGCGCGUGCGAGGCGUUCGCCGAGGCCGUGUACUGCUGCAGCGGCGCGUACGGGUCCCCGGCGGCGUGCGCGCCGACGGCGUACUCGCGGCUCUUCAAGGCCGCGUGCCCGGCCGCCUACAGCUACGCGUACGACGACGCGACGUCGACGUUCACCUGCGCCGCGGCCGGCGGCGGCUACGACGUCGUCUUCUGCCCCGGCACGUCCAGGUAAGCACGGCGCGGCGGGCUGGUUUUCUUCGCACGUCUGUGCAUGCACGUAUUUUUUUUUCCUUCCCGGUUCGUACGGGCUCGGCACGUUCCGUUUCUUGCUCGGUUUGGGGUUGGGCGAUCGGCACGUCGUUGCCACGUCCAUUUGGCCUUGUCACUAGUUUGUAUGCGAGAUGCUAUGAUUCAACAAUGCGUGAUGUUAUUUUGUACUUUGUUUGUCGGGCCUUCCUCCUCUUUAUUAAUAUAGCAGCAGCUAUUCUGCUAGCUCGUUUAAAAAAAAACAAUGCGCGAUGUUACCCUGUUCAUCUAAUUGGUGUUUGAAGAAGGAUGAGAGGGCCGGCAUGGGUUUAGAGACGCCAUUAGCCUCGUAUGAUCCUGAUGCUAGGGAGAAAUUGUUCGUCCUAGUUUAGCUGCAGCAAUCGUUUCAGUUUUCAUUUGAUUAUCACAGUAUUCGUUAGCUGAUGCUUGGAAGAACCUGAUCGAUGAUGCAGCCUGAAACCCGGCGGGAAUCCCGAGGCGGCGGCAGGCCCAACGAUGCAGUUCUCCGGAGCAGCAGCAGCAGGCGGCUUGGUGAAGAGCAGGAACGCCGUGGUAGUUGCCCUCCUCGUGCUCAUCGUUUCGGCGACAUCGGUGUGAUUAUGCUGCUGGUCUCAUUAUCCUAGCGUGAUUCGGAGUCUCCAAGAGAGGACAAGUGACAGCUUCAUGCGCUCGCACACUAUUUUCUUCGGAAGAAGAAACGGGAUUAUAGUUGUAGCUUUCAGAGCUUAUUGUUUUUUUAUUUGAUGUUUAUCAGAGAACCGAUUCCUUGGGGGAGAGAAUUUUAACCCACUAAUUAGACUGAACUAAAGUCUGUAUGAUCCGGCAGUCAAUCGGUCCCUGCUCCCGCACUAGAAGACACGAAGCACACGGGCUAUUCUGGAAGAUGUUAACCCACUAAUUAGACUGAACUAAAGUUUGUAUAGGUACAAACACAGGCAGACAAAAAUCCCGUAUCACGUUGCAUGGGAAAAAUGGGCGUCCCUGAGAACCAACACGUUUUCCUAACACCAGGCAGCUAACAACAGACUUUAAGCAACACUUCCGAGCACAGCCUACAGCUCGUCCUUGUCGUAUGACGGCUCCGACUCCUCCUCCUUGGUCGGCUCCUUCUCUUCCACCUCCGGCUGCUCCUCGGCCUCGUCCUCCUCCUCCACGGUCGCGUCGGGGCUCAGGUCCAGGCUCUUCUGCACCGACUUGUAGAUGCUGGACGCGAACUCCUUGGGGUCGGGGAGGUUGAACCCGCUCUCCAUCAGGGCGGUCUGGUACACCAGCCUCGCCGUCUGCUUCAAGCCCUCGCUCUGUUGCCAUCAGGUAAAACACGUUAGCCACCAUGGUUUUCCUGACAUUCUUUGGGGAUCAGCAAAAGGCCUUUGGAAGGAGAUUAUGUUACCUCGGUGUCCUGGGCGACCUUGUCGCGGAGCUCCUUGAUGAUGGGGUGCCUGGGGUUGAUCUCCAGCACCCUCUUGCCGCGCAUGUACGCCUGCUUGCUCGAGUCGGAGAGGGUCUGCGCCUGCAUGAUCUUCUCCAUGUUGGCGCUCCACCCGUACUUGGAGGUGACGACGACGCAGGGGGUGUCGUGCAGCCGGUUGCUGAUCUUCACCGAGUCCACGUUCUCGCUCUCCAGGGCCUUCUUCCACCAGUCGGUCAGCUCCUUGAAAGACUCCUUGAGGUCCUUGAGCUUGGAGUCCUUGCCCAGCUUCAGGCCCUCCUUGGAAACGUUCUGGAACUUCUUGUCCUCGUAGUCCAUCAGGUAUUGCAUCAGGUACUCGUCCACUGGG
RNAcentral lists this long non-coding RNA (21685 nucleotides) under Setaria viridis. RNAcentral's name for it is "long non-coding RNA (SVIR_LNC005084)". Lineage: Eukaryota; Viridiplantae; Streptophyta; Magnoliopsida; Poales; Poaceae. The record is from RNAcentral.